CAGUAGCCGCGGUAAUACGAGGGGGGCAAGCGUUGUUCGGAAUUAUCGGGCGUAAAGGGCUCGCAGGCGGUUUCUUAAGUCUGAUGUGAAAGCCCCCGGCUCAACCGGGGAGGGUCAUUGGAAACUGGGAAACUUGAGUGCAGAAGAGGAGAGUGGAAUUCCACGUGUAGCGGUGAAAUGCGUAGAGAUGUGGAGGAACACCAGUGGCGAAGGCGACUCUCUGGUCUGUAACUGACGCUGAGGAGCGAAAGCGUGGGGAGCGAACAGGAUUAGAUACCCGCGUAGUCCCUGUCUCUUAUAU
This 301-nucleotide ribosomal RNA is filed under the name uncultured bacterium. RNAcentral describes it as "partial 16S ribosomal RNA". It matches the Rfam family "Bacterial small subunit ribosomal RNA", at positions 509 to 809 of the family's 1533-position model. The record is from RNAcentral.